RNAcentral lists this ribosomal RNA (232 nucleotides) under uncultured Enterobacterales bacterium. RNAcentral's name for it is "partial 16S ribosomal RNA". It matches the Rfam family "Bacterial small subunit ribosomal RNA", at positions 99 to 334 of the family's 1533-position model. The record is from RNAcentral. Lineage: Bacteria; Pseudomonadati; Pseudomonadota; Gammaproteobacteria; Enterobacterales.
CGGACGGGUGAGUAAUGUCUGGGAAACUGCCUGAUGGAGGGGGAUAACUACUGUAAACGGUAGCUAAUACCGCAUAACGUCGCAAGACCAAAGAGGGGGACCUUCGGGCCUCUUGCCAUCGGAUGUGCCCAGAUGGGAUUAGCUAGUAGGUGGGGUAACGGCUCACCUAGGCGACGAUCCCUAGCUGGUCUGAGAGGAUGACCAGCCACACUGGAACUGAGACACGGUCCAG